GGCCUAGGAUGAACCAUGUGGAUGUUAUUUGUGAAUGAUAUUUCAGUGAUUACAAAACCAUACUGCCUUCCUUCUGAGGCC
This 81-nucleotide small nucleolar RNA is filed under the name Dichanthelium oligosanthes. Its description in RNAcentral is "Small nucleolar RNA U83". It matches the Rfam family "Small nucleolar RNA U83". The record is from Rfam by way of RNAcentral. Lineage: Eukaryota; Viridiplantae; Streptophyta; Magnoliopsida; Poales; Poaceae.